CUUGGUACAAAUUUCAAUAGAUUAAAGUAAAAUAAUAAUUUUUAUGAUACUUGGUUUUAUGUCUUUGAAAUUUUUGCAUAAAAUCCUUUAGGAUAUUUGCGCUUCAUUAAAUACUUUAAAAUGGUGGUUCAACUGAAAAUAAGACAUUCAUGAAAAUUAGUACUGUGUCAAUAAUAGUAAAUCCACAGUAUAUGAUUGCUACGGUUUUAAGAAAAGGACUGGUAUUGUUUGGUAAAACAUGACCAGAAGACAAAGAUUUAAACAACUAUGGUUCACCCUUAAACAAAUAGCAAAACCCAUACAUGACUGUUAGUUUGACAAAAUAUCAUGAACGAUAAAAAUUUCAUUUUAUACAACUUGAACACUCCCAAGCUUUACUUUAAGCACAAAACUAUUUCCAAUCUCACAUGUAUAGCACUUAAUAAGAAACUAUAUUAGAAACUGUGUGUGUGUAUUGUCGAUACUUACUCCUACAACAGAGCAAAAGGACAAAAAGGUUUCUAUGAAAUAAUUUUGUAUGUUAGUGGUCUAAAUUGACAAGAUUCAUGUACCGUAUAUUUUCGAAUUUAAAGCGCAUCGUUUUAUAAGCCGCACGGCCGUUUUUAGGGGGGAAGAUUGUUUUUGUCCUUACAUAAAACGCACCUGAAUAUUAAGCGCACACUGAAGAAAACGUAUAUUUAUUCUACUGACCUGAUAGUGUCAUGAAUAUUUUCUCCUUUUGUAACUCACACCGUAAUUUGUUU
Molecule: long non-coding RNA, 743 nt
Filed under: Mytilus galloprovincialis (Mediterranean mussel)
Lineage: Eukaryota; Metazoa; Mollusca; Bivalvia; Mytilida; Mytilidae
Source: RNAcentral